Molecule: ribosomal RNA, 250 nt
Filed under: uncultured bacterium
Lineage: Bacteria
Description: partial 16S ribosomal RNA
Rfam family: Bacterial small subunit ribosomal RNA
Source: RNAcentral
UACGAGGGGUGCAAGCGUUAUUCGGAAUAACUGGGCGUAAAGAGCGCGUAGGCGGCUUGUUAAGUCUGUUGUUAAAUUGCCCGGCUCAACCGGGAAUCGGCAAUAGAAACUGGCGAGCUAGAGGACAAGAGAGAGAAGUGGAAUUCUCGGAGUAGCGGUAAAAUGCGUAGAUCUCGAGAGGAACACCGAUGGCGAAGGCAGCUUCUUGGCUUGUAUCUGACGCUCAAGUGCGAAAGCGUGGGGAGCAAAC